AAAAUGAAGAAAAAGAUUUCUUAUAUAUUCGUCGUAUUCAAGAGCAAUUGAAUAGUGAAUUAUUCUCUCUCUCCCUCUCUCUCUCUCACCAGGCGCUACUAUCGGAGUUUAGGAGCCAAGAAGAAAAUCUUCAUAUAGGUGGCAUCUAUAAGUAGAAGAAAAGACGAGGGGAAACAACAUAACAAUACUCCAUCCUUGAGUGAGUAAACACUAUAACAGUUUAUAGGUUGUGGAUUCUCUCAAGCUUGCAGUGGAUCAUCUUGCUGAGGGUGUCCACUCGUUGAUGGCGAGAAAGAUUGGCGAAGUUCAUGAUGGGCAUACCACACAGUCGAAUGACAGGUCACGGGCAAGGAACCGUCGAGCACGUGAUGUUGAAUUUGGAAUAUCAAAUAGCAACAGAAGCAGACUUGGGGGGAGCUCCUCUGAUGACCAACAUGGCAUUGAGACCCCACAAACAAAGAAGAAGUACCUGCAGAGGCUCACUGGUCAUCAGAGCUAUAUACUUGAAGGUUUUUUCGGCAUAUGUGAACACCCUGAUGAAAAUCAAAGGAGGAGGUUGAGUGAGUCAACGGGCCUUGCAAUGCAACAAGUCAAGUUUUGGUUCCAGAACAAGAGAACACAAGUGAAGCAUCUGACCGAAAAAGAGGAGACCUAUGGACUAAAAGUGCAGAAUGAAAUGUUGAGGGAUGAAAACAAGAGUCUUAAGAUGGCACCGAGGAAUGCACUUUGCCCCACUUGCAGCGAUUUACCAACAGAAAAUCAUCACUCUAGAGAGAUGCGAUUGCUAAUGGAGCAAAAUGAGUGGUUAAAGCAAGAGAUUUUGCGGUUGCAUGGUGAAAAAGAUGCAAGCUCAAACCAUUAUGCCCAAGUUGACCCAUACGCAAAAAUAGUUGUUGCAUUACAAAAUGACAUAGAUAUGAUUACUGAACUAGUCCAGAAAGCGUUGCAUGAGUUUGUCAUUUUGUCUAACAUAAAUAGCCCUCUAUGGUUGUCUGUCCCUGUCCUUGAUGGAUCCUUUGAAAUAUUGAACAAGACGAAAUAUGUUGAAAAAUUUGGUGGAGACAAUAGUGCUAGUAUAAUUGGAUUCAAGACCGAGGCUACUCGUGCUAAUGCUAUUGUCAUGAUGGAUGCCAAAAAUAUUGUGGAUUAUCUCAUGGAUACUGUAAGUUGCAUAUAAACUGUAACAAACAUUUUUGUGAGGAAAAAACAAAAUAAAGUUUUUUUCUUGUCAAUGAUGAUAUCUCAUGUCACACGCAAGCUGAUUUCAGUCUUAAAUAACUGCAUGAGUGUUGUGCAUCAUUAUGUCCUGGAAUUCUAUAUAGUGCAAAAACCACUAAGGUUUACAAGUGGCCUACUAAUGCACACUACAAUGGGGCCAUGUAUUUGGUAUGUAUGCUUUAUUUCUUUAUGUAUUAAGAAAAAUAUGUUUAUUCAUGAUUGCAAAUAUAUCAUACAAAACCAAUACCAAAUAUAUUGUUGGCAAAACAUGCAUAUCAAGAAAUUAGUUUGGCUCAUUACUCAUUGUUUUCCUUCUUUAUGGUUGCUUGAAAACAACAGAUGACAACUGAGACGAUGUUCCCAUCAUCUCUAGUACCAUCUAGGAAAUGCACAUUCGUCAGGUACUGUAGGGUGAUACAAAAUGGCAAAGUGGUAAUUGUCGAUGUGUCUUUGGACGAAGUUGACGGUACCUUCUCCAACUGUCGCAAAAUGCCAUCGGGAGUACUAAUUCAAACCAUGGGUCCCAACACCUCCAAGAUCACUGCUAUAGAACAUGUUCAAGUAGAAGAUAUGGGUAUCAAUGAGCUCUACCAGCCAUGUAUUAGUGGGCUCAUGUUCGGAGCUAGGCGUAUUGUGACGAGCAUCUCACGACAGUGUGCACGUAUGAGAGAACUCUGCUAUGUCACCAAAAGAGUUCUAAGCGUCAACUCAAAGGGGAGGGAGACCCUCAUGAAGCUAGCAGAUGACCUGCUCAUGAGUUAUACCAGCAGCGUCACUACCAUCCCCGAGGAUGCAUGGACCAUUAUGUGUAGCAUUGGUACAGAUGAUUAUAUCAAGAUAGCACACAAGAGGAAUAUCAACAAUAGAAACACUGCCAUUGUGUUUGUGAGUGCGUCAUUCCAUCUAUCAAUGCCACUUCGGGUAACAUUUGAUCUGCUCAAGAACAACUUGCUGCGCCCAAAGUGGGAUGUGCUAGUUAAUGGUGGUGUGGUGGGAGAGGAAGUCCAAGUUUCCAGUGGCAUACAACCUGGCGAUGCCAUCUCCUUACUUCAUGUCAAGCCCGUCACACAAAUCAAGGAGAACAUCCUCCAGAAUAGCUGCUACGAUGUGUCAGGCUCGUUCAUCGUCUACUCCCCCGUCGACAUCAAACUUAUGGACAACAUCAUGAUCCCAAAUGAUAUGGAGGAGAGUAAGGUGUUUACCUACCCCACCGGUUUCUCCCUCCUCCCUGUCGACGAGUCUACCAAAGAUGGCAUUGCCCUCGGCGAAGAUGGAGCAACUCUUGUGACCAUGGGGUCCCAUGUUCCAUUGAAACUCGCUCAUGGCACUGGUUUAUGUCCUAGAUUUGUGUCUGCAACCAUUGGUAUCAUGUCUGAAAACAUUGCGACCAUAAAAAGCACUCUAACCAACAUCAACCGCAUGUACUACAGAAGCAGUCAGUCUCCCAUUCUCACCUAGGAUGUAUGCAGGGGUGGAUGGGGGAGGGUGUGAACCAGGUGGAAGUAUGUGAAAUUGCAUGGAUACAUUAUCGGUUCAUAUCAACUGCAGUUCUCCUUGUGUUUGUGAUACUUCGUUAUUUUUACUUUACUACUUGCAACUUUCGGCUUACAAGAAGAAUCUACAAUAAUGGUUUAAGAACUAGAUCUAUGUCACGUUUCCUUUGGAACUUUCUGUUUGGAAUAAGAACAUUUUGUAAUAAUGGUUCAAGAAAGACAUUAUGUAAUGUUUUUGUUGUGCUUAUCGACUGCC
This 2967-nucleotide ribosomal RNA is filed under the name Triticum aestivum (bread wheat). Its description in RNAcentral is "partial small subunit ribosomal RNA". The record is from RNAcentral. Lineage: Eukaryota; Viridiplantae; Streptophyta; Magnoliopsida; Poales; Poaceae.